UUAGUUUCUACUUAUUUCACAUUAGUUACUUUUUAAGUAUUCUGCUGAAAAAAUUUUUACAAUACAAAAAAAGUUGAGUUUCAGCCAACACUAUUAUAGGAGUUACGUACCUAGUUUGUAUGAAAUUUGCCCAAAGUUUUGUGAGUCUUUCCACCAUCAAAAUCUCUGGGUCAUUUUCCUUUAAAAGGGGAAAAAGCAAAGAAAUGUGGAAAAGGUAGAUAAGGUCAUCAUGAUGCACAAUUCCUGAAAAAGAAAACAAAAACCAUCAGUGUUACUAUUAUUUUUUAAAAAAAUUUUAAAUAUUGCAUUUGGAAAAUUAAAUUUAAUAACAUGAAUUGUAUUUUGGAUGUUGAAAUCAGAUUGAUGGACAUAAUUAUAGGUUUUCCUGUAUUACCUAGCUGUAUUGGUGUGUGCUAAAACUUCUGUAUAAAAUAUAUAGGUAUGCAGUGCAAUAUGGGGCUUCUAACGGUGUACGUGAAGCAGUAACUUCCUGUAUGUAAGAGCGCUAGUGCACGUGAACACCCAAGUAUUGAAAAGAGUAGGUAGUUGAUAAGCUGUGUUAAUAUAUCUGCAAUGUGCAAGGCUUUUUUUUAAUUGCAAUUUCAUUCCUUUUUAUAAUGUAUGUCUGCAAUGUUGCAACAAUGAAAUGUGCUCAACAGUGGUGUGCACAUUUUCAGGGCUGUCAGGGCAUGCGCACAACAGAGUGACGUCAUCUAUGAAACAUUGAGUUGGAGCAUAGUUAUAAAAAUGCUCCAGCUCGUCACCUGCCUCUUGCAGGAAGGGCAUUCCUCUUGGUAUUAGUGCAACCUUAGAUAGGGGCAAGAUUAUAUGGUGAUUGUAUUUUUUACCCCAAUUUUUGGCAUGUCAAGGCAUGAAUCAUAUCUCCCAGAUCUUCUAUAUUUUGCUGUGACCACUUAUUUACUAACAGGUUCUAGUCAGUAAGCGCUGCAAGUAAAAUCAUUUUAUUUUGACGUGGGUGACUAUAACUGUAAUGAUAAUAACACUAGAUCACAAGUGUUGACUUCAACAAGUAGUCAAAGCUAAGUCAUAUGCCUUGUCAAGCCAAAAACAUUAAAUAGGAAUAUUUAUUGCAAGCAGUAUCAAAAUAUAUUGCAAAGUGGCAAGGCCUAAUCUCCCCAAGAGGCCAGCUUAGCGAGAGGUAUAUUUGUAUUAGUGUGGAGGGAAAUGAUAAGUGUGACACUCGCGGGUGCUUCUAGCAUGGUAUCACCUUAAAGCAUAAGGCUGUGGAUUGGCGUGCAGUCUUCUUGUCAUGCAUAGGGCAACUGUGAGAUUUUAUCAGAAACUAUAUUUUGACAUGGUGGGAAAAUGGUGAUGAAGGUGAAAUAAAACUAUUUUAAGAACAAAAUACAAAAAUAGAACCACUCAUCUGCCUUCAGCACAUGCUUAAAUGCUUUUUUUUAAACAUAUUCCACUCGUACAGUAAGUCCUCUAUUUCCGUCAUACCGCUUUACGUCGUUUCGGAUUAACGUCGCUAAUGUUUGAGUACUCAUGUUUCAAUUUAAGUUGUCGCCGAUUCACAAUAACGUUGUUUACAAUGACCGUAAAUCUUUAUUUUAACCAAAACACCGUAUAUAAUUUGUUUAUAAUUCUUUGUUUCCUUCGGUAGUUAAUUUAUGCUAUGUAGCGUAAGCUACACGUUCACCGCCUUAUCUUAUCAUACAUCAUGAGGGACGCUUCUUGCUCUCCGCUGCUCUCCGCGCGGUGAUGCAAUACUACCAGCCCGCCCGCUCGGCCACCCACGUAUCUCGCUCGUAGAAGUGUUAUCUACUUCCCGCAACGACACAGCAUUUUCUCCUAUCCCUUUUCGUCCAACUCCUUGGCACUUCAGUCGCUAUGAUAUCAUUGAGUUGGCCGGAGUUUUAAACGUGCUGUUGUUAACUUUAUCGUGAUUAAAUGCAUUUGUAGUAGGCCUACAGUAUCAGCUCACUGCAAUUUAUGAUUUUUUCUUCAUAAGAUGUCUUCCAAACGACUAUAUAUCUGUUUUUAUAUUUCAAUCAAUAAAGGUAAUAAAGCAGCUGGUUAAAUAACCAUUCUAUAAAGCUGAGAAAUACUAGUUGGACUUGUUUCCCACGCUGUCGGUUGUAAUUUGCUGAUAAAAUUGCCCGUUGUCACGUCUGUAUGCCAGCGCUUCCGGCCGACCUUGGGCCGUGGUCGGCCGGUGGCAUGAAACAUGGCUCAUUUUGCGUCGUUUCUAUUUACGUCGCGGUUUUCAGGAACGUAACCCCGACGUAAACCGAGGACUUACUGUAUAUCUUAAAGUUUUCAAAUUGCAUGGUUUUCGGGAGCUCUGCUCACUGAAUGUGUGGUGUAGGUGGGUCUGGGUAAGAUCAAGUAAUUUUUGUUCGUUGUGGUUAAUAAUAUUAGAUGUUUUGUAGGUACUGAAAUUCUGUAGCUUUUGCCAAAUUGUUUUUCAUACAGUUAAAUCUUUGUUACUCUUAUUGUCUUAUAGUACAAAAGGUAAAAUCCUAUGUUUUGAAUUCCGUAGCCAUUUCUGAUGAGAAGUACAUUUAAAUGAUUAUAUAAAUCAGGGUGUCUACAAGUCACGAAAGUCCCGAAAGUAACGAAAAAGUAACGAAUUUUGAUGCGAGGUCACGAAGUCACUAAAAAGUCACGGAAUUCAAUACAAGCUCACGAAAAAAUUUUCUAUUGACGUAUUUUCACGUGUAUUUAUUGGACACUAAGUGACUGUGUAAUUGGCACAGCCGUAUUUUUCUUUCUUUAGUAUGUUUGGCCUGCUAUAGAAGAACAAAGUGCUGAAAUAAGAUACCAUGAAACGCAGUGGUGAAAUUCAAUUCUAUGUCAAGCUGAUUGUUGUGCUAUGUUCGUUUUAAUGUUUCGUUUUUUAGGACACAGGCCGUACGAGUCUAGCAUUGCCUGACGUAUGAAAAGUCUCGUAUUUGUACGAGGAUUCAGAGGUUUUCAAACCAUAGAUGUUACAGUAUACUAGUACGUACAACUUGUUACGAUAACGAUGCUUUCCGCCUCCACAUCCAUAUAAUUAUAGUAAAUACACAAUCUCUCAUUAGCAGAGUUGCCAACCAUUACGGAUUUUCCGUAAUUAUUACGGAUUUAACACCGAAUUACGGAACAUCGCUAGUUUAUUACGGAAACGAGGCUUUGUGCUGCUGGGUAACGGAGAAAAUUCCGUUUCUGCUGUGCGUGUUUCGUGAACGCAGUUUGAAUACAUCGCUUGGUUGCGCAAAUAACGGAACUAGUAAGUGUGCGCAUGUACUGUCGAAAUAAGUGGAUUAAUUCUCGUGUUUUGAAAUAAUAAUGGGAUGGUAUUACGUCCGUUGUACGAUACAACUAGUACAUAUUCUCAGACUUUUCGUUUGAAGGCUACUUACAUCACGAUAAUAUUUUUUGGUACUUUGGCUAACCUGUGUUAGUUUUAAUUUAUUGCUUGAAAGCCAUUUUUUUCAUCAUAGUGUUUUUGUCGUGUAUACAGACGAUGUUAAGCCUAAUGUGUAUAUUUUUUUUUGUAAAAGUGUCAAUUAGUUUAGUCAAUAGUACAAAGUAAAAAAAAUCCAAAAAAAAAAUGUUGCCAUUUAGGUAGGUACUGUGCCCGGCAGUUAUCUUGGCGUGUCUCAGCGCGGGGGUGCGGGGACAGCGGGACCGGAGAAAGAAGAGGGGGUAAGCAGGCGACACGUAGCCGAGAGCCGUGUAGUGGCUGUUUGGAAAAUAUUGCCCUUCAGUGUAUACCCGAAAAUGGAAGGCGAAGGUGGCAGCUCGCAGAGGCACGGUAAAGUGAUACAUAGUGGAGAGCGGGAAAUAAUAAAAACGGUUUAUUCUAUGGUAUAAGUUGAUAUUACUCCAAAAAAGUGCAAAAGUGGCUUAAAUGGAAAGUUUAACAUUGUAAGUUAUAUGUUCUGCAUUGUUUGUACACUAUGAAUGCUGACAAUCGAAUAGUAAUAAUAGUAAUUAAUUUUAACUUAAUUUUGUUUUUCGUCACCUAAUACAAUCAAUUAUCAUGAAAAGAGAACUUCACACUUACAUUAAACAAAUCAUAUAAUAUAUAUGCAUUCUAAAGUGGAAGUACAAUGCAAAUUGUAUUUACAUUUAUAAUAACUAAUCGAUUAAAGGUGCAUUAAAAUAUAAAGCCACACAUACACAAGCAUUUUUUAAAUGCCAUUAACGUUGGUAGUCAGGUGUUUCCUAAACGACUGACAUGAAGUUAAAGCAGCAAAUAUAACAUAACAAGCUCCAUGUUUAGUUAAAUGUAAAUCCAGCGCUAAAUGGCACGUUUUAGGUACGGAAACCAAAGAACGAUAAGGGCUAGACUGGCUCUUGCGUCAUCAACUGUGAGAUAGCUUUCGCAUGGAGAGCUACAAUUGCGUAAUGUUUUGGUCGUUUGCUUUUUCUCGUAAGACUUUUCUUAAAAAUAACUUUGAGAACACAAUGAAUUGAGAAGCAUAGUUUAAAUUUAUUUUACAUACUAAGUGACAUAGUUUUCCAAAAUAAAUUGUGUCUGGUUUUCGCUAGUUACUGAGUUAACAAAAUUUCAAUUAAUUUUGGUUAGCAUAAUAAUUAGUAGAUACCGUAAGUAUAUUUGAUGGGACAAAGUAAAACGUUGCAGAUUUAGAUAAUAGUUUGUUACUUUUCCUGAUAGAUGAGUACAAAUAUUCGAGCAUAACCACUGCAAUUUACACAAUGUUACACUUAUGUAGUACAAGUACAAUGCAUAGGAUUUAUGAUUUUUAUUUUUACGUAGCCUUUUUUCAUUGUGUCAAUUUUUGUUUCGUGCUGUGCGUGCGACGUAAAAAUUCAUUCUUAUCAUUUUAUCAUAACACGCCUAAAGAAGUAUAAUCUAACCUCACUUAGGUAUAUAAAUACACUUGAAAAAGUUUAUAAACUCAAUUUCUAUCUCUAAUAUUCCAAAAAAAAAAAAAAAAUUUUAAUGAUCUGGACCAGUAUUCCAUAUCAAUCACUAAAGUAUAUGAUUUAAAAGCACAUAUGAUUUUUAUUUGUGUGUAGCCAUUUUUUCAUGAUGUUUCUAAAGAAGUAGAACAUGCAUAUGGAAUACACAUAUGCACUCACGCAACGACUUCCAGGCCAAUUCGUCCUCGGUCAUGCCGGUGAUGAACGGCACUUGCGAGAAGUUCCCGGCAAGGAACAACUCCAGGGCAUUCGCGGUGAGGAACUGCUCUUCUGCGGGGUUCGCCAUCUCCACGACGGGGAGGAACACGACGAUGGGGUCCCAGGCAAACUCCUGUCAUCAAGACAAGCUCACUCAGCAUACCUGAUGCUUCCCAAUACAUGGGGGGGCGGCUCCAGUCGGGAGAAGAUAUCUUUCAAAGAUAGAAAGCCGUUGUAAAACAUGAAAUUAAAUAUGUCAUAGAUACAUGUGGAAUAUUUACAAAUUAAUGGUCUCAAAUACCCAACUCCAAUAGUUUCAUACAACUUUUGAGUAUUUAAGAAUUUGAGUUAACAUAAAUAUACCCUUGGUUUCAGGAAAUCUAGGUAAGCUUGUUGCAAAAUGCAGGAAGUUGUGAAUAGAAAUGUAUCCUGUGUUAGCAUAGUGUGUGCUUUAAGAAGCCAACUGCUACCUUCCAAACUUGUCCAGAGCCAUCACAAUUCAGCUUAUUAGGUGCUGGGCAUUGGGCAGGAAAUAUGUACUUCAUUGUAAUUAAAUGUACAUACCUAAUAGAAAAGUUUUAAUGUGAUAUGCAUUAAAAUGCCAGACACAGAAGAUAUUGCGUUUGUAAAACUGCUCUGUCAAAUAUACCUGAUGAUUAGGGACAAGAUUAUAUUGUUAAUUGCGAUAAAACCUAAAUAACACCGAACAGCUUGUCAAAACACCGCAUAACACCAAAAUGCAAGUUAAUACGAUAUAUACACCGAAAUGCAAGUUAUAUCACGGAAUUAAGUAGCAUUAAACCAAAACAUAAUUUGAUAAUUAAAAAAGUAAUCUUAUGUUUGAAAUUCAAAGAAUAUCAUUUCUGUACAUAUGAUAAAUAAGAAAACCUUUUACCAUUUAAUCCUACCAGCUUAAAACUGAUAUUAAUAAUCAAAUUUUUUUUUGUGUGUAUAAUACUUUGUGAAAUGUUAUUUAUCCAUUUUUAAACUGCCUUUCAUGUAAAGCUUAAAAAAAAAAAAAGUAAAAAUUAUAUAAUUUGCAUAAUAUUUAAUCUGAUGUUAAAAAAACUUUUAAAAAAUUUUGUACAUGAUGCCCGGAAUAGCUUAAGGGUAAUGAUUUUUUUCUGUCUUCUAUUCGUGCUGAGCCGCAGACCACAAACUUGCUGUGCGUUGUCAUUGUGAGGGAGUGCGCGUACCCGGUAGAUGUUCAGAGCAGAGGCCAGGUCCUGGGCGUCCUGCCGCCCGAGGCAGCGCCGGAUGCUCUCCGACGUCUCGGCCGAGCAGUUGAAGUAGCGCGCCAGCUUGCGGGCGGUUGGCGCCGGGUCCACGUUCUGGGAGUAGGUCAGUGCCGAGCCGCUCAUCGCGAUGGCGCAGUGGAACAAGCCUGGGAGGUGCACGGGUGCAUCCGUUAGCACGUUCAUUCUAACUUUCUGGUACACUCGUAAACCUGAAGGGACGUUAACUGUGCCACUUUGCAAUAACAAGGUUUGUAUUAACCGUAGUAUUACUAAAUUUAGUCACAAUUUUUUAUAUAAUUUCUAAAUCAAAUUCAAAUAAAGUUUAAAAAAAUUUUCUAAUUUAGUAUAUGCAUAAUACAGCUAAAAAAUAUAAUUUUCUCCUUGGAAACUUGCACACAAUUUGAUACAACACUAACUGUAGGUAAUUUUUUUUAGGGGACUAUAAACUAUAACAUUAGGAUGGUUACACAAGUGGCUACAAAAAAUAUUUUGUACUGUACUAUAUUUUUUAAAAGAAUUUAAGAAAGAAUAAUAAAUAAAAUGUUUAGAAAAUACCUAUGAAAAGACAUACAGUACCAUCAUUGUGGAAGAAUAUAUAUUUUAAUGCUUUUUUUCCCCCCCAGCCUACCCUGAACCAAAGCAAUGCAGCAGUAUUAUUUUAGUUGAUACUUCACAUUGUUUCUUUACAUUAUUCUGGGGUUUUUAUACUAACCACCCUGUACGUCAUUUAAUAUUGUAUUGUUGGAAGAAAAAAACUUUUUUAUGGAAUAACCACACUUUUGUAUUAUACAAAUUAGAACUAUAACUUAGGUAAUUUCUAGGGACUGUGAAAACACUUGUAUUAACAGGAUUUUUAUUAAUGAAGUUUCACUGUACAUGACAGCAUCAAGCGCUGCUCCAAUUGAGGGGCGGUGGGGGCAAUAACCCCUCUCAAGUCCGAUUUUUAUUUUGGAGGUUAUAUUUAUGUACACUUAAAUUCAUAUUUAUUUUUAUUUUAUCAAAAGAGAAUGAAACUAUGUUCAGGUUGUGAGGCCAUGAAUUUGAAAAUAUUCCAAGGCCAAUCUCUGACAUUUAGAGUCAUGUUUUGCAACUUCAUCAUUUCUUUGUAUGCUAGCCUCAACUGAUAUAUCUCCCUGCAGCCACACUUGGACAGCAUUUUCCAUUGUAAAUUGGCCUGUUCGUGCAGGUACAAUUGAUGUACUAUCCUUAGCCUGCCGCUGCUGAAGGUAAACCCGUUUCAUUGGUUAAUUCACUACAGCAUCAAUAAUUGUUAGCAGGGGCGAAUUUUUGGGUGAGAGAGAGUGGAUAUUUUUUUUGAACUUCAUUUUUUGAGGCAUAGUAUUUAAAUUUUGACUCCAAAUAUCCUGUAGUACCCAUGGACUUAGAUUCAGAGGAGGAGAUUAACUAUUGACUACAGCUUCUAAUUAUUUUGUCUCAUCUUUGCUAUCAUUGUCUGUAGGUAGUACUUAUUUACCAGGACUGUAGAUACUGUCAUGUCACAAGCACUAGCUUUGCAUACGGGUCAAUGUUUUUUGCAAUCAUGGGAUCAAAACAUAUUUCCAGAUGAAAGCAGUACAUACUUGCAUCAAAAUAUUUACUCCAAAAGGUAAACAUUGUGUUUAUCUCUGUGAGCAGAUAUGUGAUAUGUCUUGUUAAUUUAUUUGCUUUCCCAAGAAUUCAUCUUGGUACCAAACCUUUCCUGCUUGCUAUUAUAAAUAUGAAUAGUGUAUAAAUAGUGAAUUUAAGAGCUCAAACUGAGAAUCAAGUUAGUGUGCUAAAUUUUUAGCCAGUUUUUUUUUUUAUAUAUAAAUUAAAUUCAGGCCUAUACAGGUGUAUUUUAUUUGCAUAUUUUUAACAUCAAGCUAAAUCUUAUACUGUAUUUUGAUUAAUGUUGCUACAUUUCACUUGAUAUUGAAAUUACUGACUUGAGCCACCAAAGUCAUUAAUAAAUUAUUCGCCAUAUUAUCAUCAAGAACCUUUCAAAAUAUCAGAUGCUACUGCAUAGUUUAAUUUGUGUAUGUACCGUACUAUGUUUACAUCAUUCUUAUUGAAAUUGCUCUGCACUAAUGUGAAAACCCACUUGAUGCUAACAUCGAAUAUUUUAAAAAUAGCUUCUACAGUUAUUAUUUUUCCCUGUUAGGUAUUGGAAGUUUAACAUAUCUGUACUUUACACACAAACUUAGUCUGUCAACUGAAUAUCACCAACUCUUUUGACAUCUGUUGUGAUAACUCUCAUUGUGUUCAUCUGGCUUGGUUGCUUCCAUCCUAUAGUCUAAACAUAGGAUGAUUAAAAUAGCAUUUUGGCUGACCCACAUAGCAUGUAAACUUCCAGCAAGCUUGUUACAGAUUUGAGAGGUGUAAUUAAAACAUAUAUUUAACCAUUAAGGCUGAGAUUUGCUUUCUGCAAGCUUGCCAAAGGCUUGAAUUUAGCUUGCUCUCUGCACCUAGCUGCUUUGGCAAGUUUGCAGUGCGCUUGCCAUGUGGAGACUAGUUAGCUUGAAACAACUUGCUGCUAGCUAACAUACCUUCUGCUGCAAGCUUGAUGGUUUGUUAUGGCAAACUUGAUCCAAGUUUGAAUCAUGUCUUUUUUUUUACUAUAUCUGGGACAUAACCGAAAGGAACUACCUUGCGACAUGGGUGAGACCAUGUGAAGCAUGACACUGCGGGCGCCCGCGCUGUAGCCCGCUAUGGUGACGGAGUCCGGGUCGCCGCCAAAGGCGCCUAUGUUCUGGCGCACCCAUCGCAGCACCGCCACCUGGUCCUUCAUGGCGUAGUUGCCCGGCAGCACGCUGUCGCCCAUUGACAGGAAGCCUGCAGUUCAGUGCGACAUCGCAUCCACUUUAACAACACACUUGGGAAUGUAUUCAUAGCAGAUAUGCUGCAACAGCCAGGAAGGUGUAUGUUGUUUCCAUGCUACUGCAUGGCGCCACCGGUGCGUAGAGCCUGAACUGUUGCGGCGCUUGCCGUGCGCCGGAUUUCGACGCGAGACCUAGGGCUGCGAACGUCUACUACUGGGCCAAGCUGUUAACAUCAUGAGCGGACGUCACGCUCACAACUUAGAGGACUGCAGAGUCACUGCACAGCAGAGACUCGCUCGACUCACCCAGCGACCUCCAGGCGAACUCGUCCUGCGUCAUGCCGGUGAUGAGCGGCACGUGCACGAAGUCCCCGGACAGCAGCGACUGCUGCGGCUCCACCGUCAGGAACUGCUCCUCGCUGUCGCCGGCCCGCUCCAGCGUCGGCAUGAACGACACUAUGGGGUCCCAGGCGAACUCCUGCGCCAUCGUCACCGCGGCGUCAACACGCUUCUCCGUUCUCCGAACACCUCCCUCCUCGUUCCCCGCACAGGAGUCAGGCAUUAGCCGUCAGAGAUGGCAGCACAUCGCACGCGGUUACCCGGUAUAUGUCGAUGGCGCGGCCCAUCUCCAAGGCGUCCACUCGCAGCAGACAGCUCCUGAUGGCCUCCGACGAGUCGACCGGACAGCGGAAGUGGCGCGCCAGCUUCCUGGCCACGGGCAGCGGGUCGCGGUCCACGGACCACUUGAAGAAGGGCGAGCCGCUCAUGGCGAUGGCCCGGUGGAACAGACCUUGCACAGAAAAUAAAUAUAUCUCUUCACUUUCACGAAACAUUCCUCUGGGAACCAUUUGCCAAGAAAAGGUUUGUAAUACUAUACUUAACAAAAAUAUUGUUUAUUUGUACAACACAUUGUUACGGUUAUUUUUGUUUAUCUGAAAUAUAUUUUUGUAGUGAAACUUCUUUGCUGAUGGGGCUACAACUUAAGGCGUUUCGAAAAUUCGGAUCGCAUGAGGGGAAUAGUUAGGUACCCGGUGGGGGAACCGGUAGAGGAGGGGAGUGCGUCAGCGGCAACGUCACUCCAACGCAUGCGCUAGCGGCCGAAUGGGAUUACGGCAAGGGGUUGGGGGGGGGGGAAUUUGUACGCAGCGUAGCAUGCUAUUAUGCUAAUUGUAAUGGCUGGAAGGGAAGACGGCAGGGGAGAGGUAGAACUGACGCAGCAAAGAUGCUACGUAAUUCUCGUAACGCUGAUUGUGUUUGUCUAUUCCUCAGUUUUCGUAACGGCUAACGAUUGACGCUACCGUAGUUCUAUUAUUUUAUUUAAAGUAUCUUUAAUUUAUUUAUUCUUUUGUAAAAGAGUUAUUAAUUUGUGCAAUAGUGUGAUUGAAAAAAUAAAAAAUACGUAUAG
Molecule: long non-coding RNA, 10537 nt
Organism: Bacillus rossius redtenbacheri
Lineage: Eukaryota; Metazoa; Arthropoda; Insecta; Phasmatodea; Bacillidae
Exons: 5
Source: RefSeq, a predicted model, not a curated record